RNAcentral lists this ribosomal RNA (220 nucleotides) under uncultured bacterium. RNAcentral describes it as "partial 16S ribosomal RNA". It matches the Rfam family "Bacterial small subunit ribosomal RNA", at positions 111 to 334 of the family's 1533-position model. The record is from RNAcentral.
UAAUGUAUGGGGAUCUGCCUGAUGGCGGGGGAUAACUACUGGAAACGGUAGCUAAUACCGCAUAACGUCGCAAGACCAAAGAGGGGGACCUUAGGGCCUCUUGCCAUCGGAUGUGCCCAGAUGGGAUUAGCUAGUAGGUGGGGUAAUGGCUCACCUAGGCGACGAUCCCUAGCUGGUCUGAGAGGAUGAUCAGCCACACUGGGACUGAGACACGGCCCAG